This 446-nucleotide ribosomal RNA is filed under the name Streptococcus infantis. RNAcentral's name for it is "bacterial SSU rRNA". It matches the Rfam family "Bacterial small subunit ribosomal RNA", at positions 28 to 465 of the family's 1533-position model. Lineage: Bacteria; Bacillati; Bacillota; Bacilli; Lactobacillales; Streptococcaceae. The record is from RNAcentral.
GACGAACGCUGGCGGCGUGCCUAAUACAUGCAAGUAGAACGCUGAAGGAGGAGCUUGCUCUUUCCGGAUGAGUUGCGAACGGGUGAGUAACGCGUAGGUAACCUGCCUGGUAGCGGGGGAUAACUAUUGGAAACGAUAGCUAAUACCGCAUAAGAGUAGAUAUCGCAUGAUAGCUGCUUGAAAGGUGCAAUUGCACCACUACCAGAUGGACCUGCGUUGUAUUAGCUAGUUGGUGAGGUAACGGCUCACCAAGGCAACGAUACAUAGCCGACCUGAGAGGGUGAUCGGCCACACUGGGACUGAGACACGGCCCAGACUCCUACGGGAGGCAGCAGUAGGGAAUCUUCGGCAAUGGACGGAAGUCUGACCGAGCAACGCCGCGUGAGUGAAGAAGGUUUUCGGAUCGUAAAGCUCUGUUGUAAGAGAAGAACGAGUGUGAGAGUGGA